UGGAGGGAAGAGCAUACUUGAGAUUACCCCAAUUUCACACAUGAAAAAGUAAAGGUUAACAAAGGUCAAGCAACUUACCAGGAGCCACACGGGCAGGCUCAAUGGCUGCGCUCAGCUUUUGCUACUGUGAGUUCUGUUUUCUUUUUACUUAACUGUGCUCUCUCAAGAACUGAAAAGAAAGUUCUCCAGAGGGCACUUCCUAAGAACAAUGUGGGACGCACAAGCUAUCAGCCUCCUGGGUGGGUCCCCAGACCUCCUCGCCCCCAGUAACCAGUGCAGCGUAGAGGGAAAAGGGAAGGAGCCCCACGGAGGCCACCUUCUCCCACCGUGGCCCAUGUGCUGAACUCUGUUCCACCCUAAGCCAGAUGCAAGGCUAAGCAGGGUGGGCACAGAGCUGGCCCCUGCUUGAGAGAGCCCAUGCUGUCAUUUUCCCACUUCAAAAACAGAUAAACAGAAUCUUUGUCCCCCGGAAUGAACCAGAAGCCCUGCCCAUUGGAAAGGAUGGUGAGCCAGCCUACAGCCAGCCACCCUCCUGCCACGCCCCCGUCGUCACCAACAGCAUGAAGACCUCAUGGAGCUGGCGGGGGAGGGUGGAGAGCUGAGAACUCUACCUCCCAGCUGCUAUGAUUGAUUUCUGACUCUGUUGACACGGCUUCACCCUCUCUGUGAUCUCUAAGGACAGAGAUGGUGUCCUGGUCAUCUCACUGUCUCCAGAGCGUGCCAGAGAACCCUAUAAGAAACCCACCAUCAAUAAAGAAGUAUUUUAACAAAUGAAUGAGUUUCACGGAGACUUUGCCUCUGAUGUUCGCAAGCCCGAAGAGCUCAAUCUAGAAAAUGACCCUUGCCAAAAACAACAGUCCCAGCUGCCCAGAGGAAGGGACCUUCUGAGCAUGGAGUGCAACUUUUCUGGACCCCUUGUAGGAAUCAACAGUUAACCAAGAGGACAUGUGGGCUCUUCGCAUGCUAGUGGGGUGCGUGCAAGACGGGUCUAUCUUUAGACAGGAGAGAAACAUAAACAGGGUGAGUGUCUCCAUCAUAAAUCACCCACAGCACUUACCCAGAACAACCUCUAAAAGCCAGGGAGGGGGCUCCGCGUCAACAGGAAGGCUCAGAUUGCUGCACAGUGGAGCAGCAGAGAGUGAAAUCCGUCGGGGCUCCAGCCUCCCGCCCUGUGCCAGCGUAUUAUAA
RNAcentral lists this long non-coding RNA (1188 nucleotides) under Marmota monax (woodchuck). The record is from RNAcentral. Lineage: Eukaryota; Metazoa; Chordata; Mammalia; Rodentia; Sciuridae.